This 355-nucleotide ribosomal RNA is filed under the name uncultured bacterium. RNAcentral describes it as "partial 16S ribosomal RNA". It matches the Rfam family "Bacterial small subunit ribosomal RNA", at positions 338 to 690 of the family's 1533-position model. The record is from RNAcentral.
CCUACGGGAGGCUGCAGUGAGGAAUAGUGGGCAAUGGACGAGAGUCUGAACCAGCCAAGUAGCGUGAAGGAUGACUGCCCUAUGGGUUGUAAACUUCUUUUAUAUGGGAAUAAAAUGUGCCACGUGGGGGAUUGUGUAUGUACCAUAUGAAUAAGGAUCGGCUAACUCCGUGCCAGCAGCCGCGGUAAUACGGAGGAUCCGAGCGUUAUCCGGAUUUAUUGGGUUUAAAGGGAGCGUAGGUGGAUUGUUAAGUCAGUUGUGAAAGGUUGCGGCGCAACCGGAAAAUUGCAGUUGAAACUGGCAGUCUUGAGUACAGUAGAGGUGGGCGGCAUUCGUGUUGUAGCGGUGCAAUGCU